UGCGAUCACUCUAUAAUGCAGUCGAGCGACUGAUUAGAAGCUUGCUUCUAUGACGUUAGCGGCGGACGGGUGAGUAACACGUGGGCAACCUGCCUGUAAGACUGGGAUAACUCCGGGAAACCGAAGCUAAUACCGGAUAGGAUCUUCUCCUUCAUGGGAGAUGAUUGAAAGAUGGUUUCGGCUAUCACUUACAGAUGGGCCCGCGGUGCAUUAGCUAGUUGGUGAGGUAACGGCUCACCAAGGCAACGAUGCAUAGCCGACCUGAGAGGGUGAUCGGCCACACUGGGACUGAGACACGGCCCAGACUCCUACGGGAGGCAGCAGUAGGGAAUCUUCCGCAAUGGACGAAAGUCUGACGGAGCAACGCCGCGUGAGUGAUGAAGGCUUUCGGGUCGUAAAACUCUGUUGUUAGGGAAGAACAAGUACGAGAGUAACUGCUCGUACCUUGACGGUACCUAACCAGAAAGCCACGGCUAACUACGUGCCAGCAGCCGCGGUAAUACGUAGGUGGCAAGCGUUAUCCGGAAUUAUUGGGCGUAAAGCGCGCGCAGGCGGUUUCUUAAGUCUGAUGUGAAAGCCCACGGCUCAACCGUGGAGGGUCAUUGGAAACUGGGGAACUUGAGUGCAGAAGAGAAAAGCGGAAUUCCACGUGUAGCGGUGAAAUGCGUAGAGAUGUGGAGGAACACCAGUGGCGAAGGCGGGUUUUUGGUCUGUAACUGACGCUGAGGCGCGAAAGCGUGGAGAGCAAACCGGACUAGAUACCCUGGUAGUCCACGCCUCUCACGAUGAGUGCUCGCUGUUAGAGGAAUUCCGCCCUUUCUCUGCUGCAGCUAACGCAUUAAGCUCUCCACGUGGCUAGUAGGGUGAGCCGAGUGAAUUUCACAUGGAAUUGACGAGAGCCCCCCGCGCGCGCUGUACGCCGUAGUAAUUACUUCGAUAAAAACUUGCCAACCAACUUAUU
RNAcentral lists this ribosomal RNA (961 nucleotides) under Priestia aryabhattai. RNAcentral describes it as "bacterial SSU rRNA". It matches the Rfam family "Bacterial small subunit ribosomal RNA", at positions 41 to 975 of the family's 1533-position model. The record is from RNAcentral. Lineage: Bacteria; Bacillati; Bacillota; Bacilli; Caryophanales; Bacillaceae.